This 1188-nucleotide ribosomal RNA is filed under the name Rhynchocypris lagowskii (Amur minnow). Its description in RNAcentral is "partial 16S ribosomal RNA". It matches the Rfam family "Bacterial large subunit ribosomal RNA", at positions 724 to 2556 of the family's 2925-position model. The record is from RNAcentral. Lineage: Eukaryota; Metazoa; Chordata; Actinopteri; Cypriniformes; Leuciscidae.
GGUGAGCUACCCCGAGACAGCCUAUAUUAAUUUAGGGCUAACCCGUCUCUGUGGCAAAAGAGUGGGAAGAGCUCCGGGUAGAAGUGAAAGACCUACCGAACCUGGUGAUAGCUGGUUGACUGAGAAAUGGAUAGAAGUUCAGCCUCGCACACCCCAAACCAAAAAAUACUAUCACCAAGAUAUUAAGGGAAACGUACGAGAGUUAGUUAAAAGGGGUACAGCCCUUUUAACAAAGGAUACAACCUUUACAGGAGGAUAAAGAUCAUAAUGUAUAAGAUACACUGUUCUAGUGGGCCUGAAAGCAGCCACCUAAACAGAAAGCGUUAAAGCUCGGACAGAAGGAAGUUUAUUAUACUGAUAAAAAAUCUUAUUCCCCUAGCUAUAUCAGACCAACCCAUGCCUCCAUGGAAGAGAUUAUGCUAAAAUGAGUAAUAAGAAGACCCGCUCUUCUCCCAGCACAAGUGUAAACCAGAUCGGACUGACCACUGGAACUUAACGAACCCAACCCCAGAGGGUAGUGUGAUUAACAAAAAACUCAAGAAGGCCUCACAUAACUAAUCGUUAACCCCACACUGGAGUGCUAUUUUAAGGGAAAGACUAAAAGAAGGGGAAGGAACUCGGCAAACACAAGCCUCGCCUGUUUACCAAAAACAUCGCCUCCUGCAACUAAACUGAGUAUAGGAGGUCCAGCCUGCCCAGUGACUACAGGUUCAACGGCCGCGGUAUCUUGACCGUGCAAAGGUAGCGCAAUCACUUGUCUCUUAAAUAGAGACCUGUAUGAAUGGCUAGACGAGGGCUUAACUGUCUCCCCCUUCCAGUCAGUGAAAUUGAUCUAUCCGUGCAGAAGCGGGUAUAAAUAUACAAGACGAGAAGACCCUUUGGAGCUUAAGGUACAAAAUUCAGCCACGUUAAACAACUCUAUAAGAAGCAAGAACUUAGUGAUAAUGAAAUUUUACCUUCGGUUGGGGCGACCGCGGAGGAAAAACAAGCCUCCGAGUGGACUGGGCCGAAUCCCUGAAGCCAAUAGAGACAUCUAUAAGCCGCAGAACAUCUGACCAAAAAUGAUCCGGCUAAAAGCCGAUCAACGAACCAAGUUACCCAAGGGAUAACAGCGCAAUCCCCUCCCAGAGCCCAUAUCUACGAGGGGGUUUACGACCUCGAUGUUGGAUCAGGACAUCCUAAUGGUGC